AUUACCCACUCCCAGCACGGGGAGGUAGUGACGAUAAAUAACGAUACGGGACUCAUCCGAGGCCCCGUAAUCGGAAUGAGUACACUUUAAAACUUUUUCCGAGUAUCAAUUGGAGGGUAAGUCUGGUGCCAGCAGCCGCGGUAAUUCCAGCUCCAAUAGCGUAUAUUAAAGUUGUUGCGGUUAAAAAGCUCGUAGUCUGAUUUGUGUCCCGCGCCGCUGGUUCAUCGCUCGCGGUGUUCAACUGGCGUGUCUCGCGGGACGUCCUGUCGGUGGGCUCUCGUAUCCUUGCGAUGCGAGUCCCUGGUCGUAGCCGCCUUGCGCGGUUGCGGUCCCCAUUGCGGUGCUCUUUAUUGAGUGUCUUGGUGGGUCGGCACUUUUACUUUGAACAAAUUAAAGUGCUUAAAGCAGGCCAAUUUGCCUGAAUAUUCGUGCAUGGAAUAAUGGAAUAGGACCUCGGUUCUAUUUUGCUGGUUUUCUGAACUCCGAGGUAAUGAUUAAGAGGAACGGAUGGGGGCAUUUGUAUUGUGACGUUAGAGGUGAAAUUCUUGGAUCGUCGCAAGACAGACCGAAGCGAAAGCGUUUGCCAAAAACGUUUUCAUUGAUCAAGAACGAAAGUUAGAGGAUCGAAGGCGAUCAGAUACCGCCCUAGUUCUAACCAUAAACGAUGCCAGCUAGCGAUCCGCCGACGUUCCUCCGAUGACUCGGCGGGCAGCUUCCGGGAAACCAAAGCUUUUGGGUUCCGGGGGAAGUAUGGUUGCAAAGCUGAAACUUAAAGGAAUUGACGGAAGGGCACCACCAGGAGUGGAGCCUGCGGCUUAAUUUGACUCAACACGGGACACCUCACCAGGCCCGGACACCGGAAGGAUUGACAGAUUGAUAGCUCUUUCUUGAUUCGGUGGGUGGUGGUGCAUGGCCG
RNAcentral lists this ribosomal RNA (916 nucleotides) under Ecitoplectus sp. JP-2017. RNAcentral describes it as "bacterial SSU rRNA". It matches the Rfam family "Eukaryotic small subunit ribosomal RNA", at positions 440 to 1290 of the family's 1831-position model. Lineage: Eukaryota; Metazoa; Arthropoda; Insecta; Coleoptera; Staphylinidae. The record is from RNAcentral.